Molecule: transfer RNA, 70 nt
Filed under: Neotoma lepida (desert woodrat)
Lineage: Eukaryota; Metazoa; Chordata; Mammalia; Rodentia; Cricetidae
Rfam family: tRNA
About the family: Transfer RNA (tRNA) molecules are approximately 80 nucleotides in length. Their secondary structure includes four short double-helical elements and three loops (D, anti-codon, and T loops). Further hydrogen bonds mediate the characteristic L-shaped molecular structure. tRNAs have two regions of fundamental functional importance: the anti-codon, which is responsible for specific mRNA codon recognition, and the 3' end, to which the tRNAs corresponding amino acid is attached (by aminoacyl-tRNA synthetases). tRNAs cope with the degeneracy of the genetic code in two manners: having more than one tRNA (with a specific anti-codon) for a particular amino acid; and 'wobble' base-pairing, i.e. permitting non-standard base-pairing at the 3rd anti-codon position.
Source: Rfam by way of RNAcentral
GGGGAUGAAGCUCAGUUGGUAGAGCACCUACCUACCAUGCAUGAAGCCCUGGGUUCCAUUCCCAGCACCA